This 643-nucleotide ribosomal RNA is filed under the name uncultured bacterium. RNAcentral's name for it is "bacterial SSU rRNA". It matches the Rfam family "Bacterial small subunit ribosomal RNA", at positions 202 to 842 of the family's 1533-position model. The record is from RNAcentral.
CAAAGGAGUGAUCCGGCAGAGGAUGGACAUGCGGCGCAUUAGCUAGUCGGCGGGGUAACGGCCCACCGAGGCUACGAUGCGUAGGGGUUCUGAGAGGAAGGUCCCCCACACUGGUACUGAGACACGGACCAGACUCCUACGGGAGGCAGCAGUGAGGAAUAUUGGUCAAUGGGCGGAAGCCUGAACCAGCCAAGUCGCGUGAGGGAAGACGGUCCUAUGGAUUGUAAACCUCUUUUGCAGGGGAACAAGGCGCGGUACGUGUACCGCGAAGGAGAGUACCCUGAGAAAAAGCAUCGGCUAACUCCGUGCCAGCAGCCGCGGUAAUACGGAGGAUGCGAGCGUUAUCCGGAUUUAUUGGGUUUAAAGGGUGCGCAGGCGGACUGUUAAGUCAGCGGUAAAAUGUCGGUGCUCAACACCGGCCGGCCGUUGAAACUGGCAGCCUUGAGUGAGCGAGAAGUAUGCGGAAUGCGUGGUGUAGCGGUGAAAUGCAUAGAUAUCACGCAGAACUCCGAUUGCGAAGGCAGCAUACCGGCGCUCAACUGACGCUCAGGCACGAAAGCGUGGGUAUAGAACAGGCUUAGAUACCCUGGUAGUCCACGCAGUAAACGAUGAAUGCUCACUGUCCGGGCCGUUUAAGGCCUGG